AUGGGAUGGAAAUAUUUGAAAGUAUGUAUAGUAAUAGAUAAAGAGAUGUUAAUAAAAACGGUCCGGUUCACCGUCACCGGUUCAAUUGUCUUUCUUUGGUUCGUUCUCUCUGUCUUCUUUCUUCUUCUUAUCUUUUUCUCUCUCUUUCUUACUUCCUUUCUUUCUUCACACCCGAUUCCAACGACGUCGUUCAGGUGCUUCUAUCCUUAUUCCCUUUUUCUUUUGUUUCCUCCAUUGAAUACCCCAUUCCCUCACUCUUAUUUCGAUUCCCUUUCACCUUUCUAAAUCAUUCUCACUUUUUUUUCGUUUCGGUUUCAUAUGUUAGGGUUCUUAAGUUUUGCGUCUAACUCUAUUCGUUAUUGAUCUUGAGGUUCUCAAGGUUCUGCGUCUAACUCUAUUUGAUACUGAUUCUGAGGAGGUGGAAAGGUUGGUUCAGUUAGGGUUUUCUCAGAAACUGGAAAGCACUGUUUACUCCUAGCUGAAAAAGGAGGAUUUUAGAUUAUUUAUUAAGGUUUGAUUCAAGACGGGGAAGAUAAUAGGUGUUGGUUAGAGAAUAAUGUGUAUACUGUGUGUCAUUCAGAAGUGGUCUCGCCGGGUUGCUACCAUGCUACCUUGGUUGGUUAUUCCGUUAAUUGGACUCUGGGCACUUUCACAGCUUCUGCCACCUGCUUAUAGGUUUGAGAUUACUUCACCGCGUCUCGCCUGUGUUUUCGUGUUGUUAGUUACUCUCUUUUGGUAUGAGAUUUUGAUGCCUCAGCUGUCUGCUUGGAGGGUUCGGAGGAAUGCACGACUUAGGGAGAGGAAGAGGUUUGAGGCGAUUGAAAUGCAGAAGCUAAGGAAGACAGCUACGAGGAGGUG
This 858-nucleotide long non-coding RNA is filed under the name Lupinus mutabilis. RNAcentral's name for it is "partial ncRNA". The record is from RNAcentral. Lineage: Eukaryota; Viridiplantae; Streptophyta; Magnoliopsida; Fabales; Fabaceae.